This is a long non-coding RNA of Oreochromis niloticus (Nile tilapia), 5094 nucleotides long. The record is from Ensembl. Lineage: Eukaryota; Metazoa; Chordata; Actinopteri; Cichliformes; Cichlidae.
GUUCGUUAUCUUCUCACUGAGUUAAUAUGAACCUAAAACAUUUUAACUAUGUAUUUCUUCUGAAUGCUGUCUAAAUAAUAUCAUUGUCACAUGUCUAAUGGUACAGUUUGAACAACUAUAUUACCUUUUAUUAGUAAGCUAAUAAUCUAUGGAGUUAAAUCAAUUAGCUUAUAUAAGCGAACUACUUUCAGAAAAAGUAGGUAACAUUACCAUAAAGUUAACUUUACUGGUUUAUAUUAUUUUAAGCAAAUGCCAAAGGCAUACACUAAUUUAGUUUUGCUCAUUAUUUAGUAAGAAAUAUGUAUUUUGUAUAAAUUAACUGAUAGCAAUGUUAAUGAUAUGUUAAGUAAUAUUAAGUAAUGUUUCUAUUUUAUAGAAAGGUUUAAGAGUAUGCAAAAACCAAAUCUCUGAGAGAUGCAACCAGAAGACGGAUGAGAAACAUACUUGAGGCUGAGAUGACAGAAACACAUGGGUAAGAAUCAAAAAUGUAGGAUAUAAAGAAACAUUUUUAACAUUGUAUUACUUUUAAUUGUGAUGUUCAAUGCCAAUUAUUGAAUUUAUACAUUAAGACAUCUCCCCCUAAAAGCGUAAGAGUGAUGUAUGUGCAGGGGAUUGUUGCUCUGUCUCCAUAUCUGGAAGACCCAUAUUCACAACAUGGAUAUGUAAGUAAAGGGGACUUUUCAACAUUAAAUACAUAAUUGCCCUCAGAAAUGUUGAUAACAUAGUCCUUCUGCAUUUAUUUAAUUACAUAGGAACAUUACUACGAUCCAGAGAGCGGUUCAGGAUACCUUGAAUGGUCUUCAACCGCCAUGCAAAGAAAAGCUGCGGAGGAAAGAAGCGUCUCAGUUUGCAAAUCUCCCAAAAUUGGUGGUCCAGGCCAUGGUCGAUCCAGACCACUCACCACUCAGACAGUGUUAUCAGAUGAGGAUGUAAGAGCAGCUAUUGCUCUUUUGAGACACUCUGCUGAUGAAGACAUCUGUGAAAAGAUGAAAGCUACCUUCAUUUAUCGGCAUUCAAUGGUCAACGAUGAAAAGAAUGCAGCAGAUGUCUUCAUAGGCCUGAUGCGGUUUCUGGACACACCAGGACUGGUAAGACAUCUUCAUUUGUUGAAUCACUGAAAUAUUCCAUGGAGCUUGUAGUGUCAAUGAUUACACCUUGCUAUGUUCUGUAUUUUUGCAUUACAGAUAGAACAAGAUUUCCGACUCCUGUUUUGUGAGGUCACUGCCAGAAAAUCCUUGGAGAGGUGGCCCAUCAAUCUCAAAGCAAAGGUUGUAAAGGAAAGUCAUGGACUUGUCUCCACCUCAGAGCUCUUGGAGUUAAUGUGCAAUGCUGAGUCAGGUACUGAAGUUGAGAAUGGUAUGAUUGUGACUCAUUUUAUUUGCCAUUGUUGGUUAUAUAGGUAAUUCUGUCAAUUGAAUGUAUUUUUGAAAUAAUUCUUUGUUUAUUCGUCUGUAGGCUGGGACAGUGACAUGUCUACUAUCUUGCUGCUGCUACAUCUGCUACCACCAUUUGCACAAUGGUGAAAGAGACAGGGGCGGAUCUAGAAGGGUGGCAUGGGGUGGCAAGUGCCACCCUAAAAUGAUCCCUUGCCACCCCAGUUUUGCAUAUGACAGUGUUGUUUAUUAAAAUAAGAUAGCAUUAACAGUUUGAGCGUAGUUACAGUCAACAGUGAAUAUAAAUGCUAAAACUGAAUAUAUUGGAUAGUGUUUCCCCCCUCCACCAUUAACAAAUGGUUCAGCCCAUAGCAGGACCGGCUUUUUUCUUGUUUUCAGUAACAAGCGAUGCUUGUGAUUGUGCCAGAGCACAUUUUGAACAACACCAUGGGAAUUUCGGAUUUUACACAUUUGGUUGGAUGUUACACUCUGGAAAUGGAAGGAAGGUGAGUGUUAUUAACCCUCUGUGGUCCACGGACACGCUGCACCUCCAAAUCACAUGACUGAUGUAAGCUGACACAGCAACAAGCUGCAGCUGAGUCUCUAUUUCAGCCCAUAUUGAAAGUUCGGACUUCAAAGUUUUUAAAUUUUAAUUACAGGCCAGUAAAUCCAUAGUUAUGAUGAUAUAUAUAAGCCACGCUUUUUACUAAAUACUGUCGUCACGUUUUUGUGUGUGUGUGUUUUAAGCGUUUUCUAAGGACAGCGCAAAAACAGUAAAGAAAGGAAAAAAGCCACCUCUUUCCUAUCAGUGGAAAAAUGUACCAUGUCGACCAAUUAAAAAAAAAAGUCAACACGUGAGAUUUGGUUGUUUAGGAAGACGGGAGAGUUUUGGGAGUGACGGUAACGACAGCGAGACAGAGCGAGCGAGUGAGAGAGAGGGAGAGAGAGUUUUUAGAUGUGGGAGAUUUGUGACGUUUAGUGUGGAGUGUAUACUUAGUGUGUUGUGUUGUCUUGUGUAGCUGUUCUGUUGUGUAGUCGUUUUGUCUUGUGUGUCAGUGAGGGCACUAAUGAAUGUCACAAAGGCCCAUUGCAGUGUAAACACUGUCACUAAGUAGAAAACCAGCGGAGUGAUACACCUGCUGUUGUCAGGCCUGCAGGUUAGUCCCUGUGCUGCUCUCCUCUGUCUUUUGGUGGACAAACUUUUUUUUUACUGGCACACAUCAUUUGUGGGGCAUCUUAUUGCGAAACCUGAUUGUUCUCUCAUUUUAGUUUUAGUAAUAUUUUUAAAUGGUUGUACAAAAUGAAAAAAACGGCAGGUGUAUUGGCUGCAUUUUUAGAUAAAUAGUUGUAUAUGUUUACAAAAUGUACAAUUUAUAUUUGCAUUUCAAGUUAUAAAAAUUUACUCAACAUGUCUGUGUUUUUUUUACAGUAAAAAAAUACUUCUAGGAUUUUAAGUUCUUUGUGUGAUUUCAGAUCAGUAAUACUAAUGCAGUAUGUCAGUGAAAAAACAACUAAAUUCAGUUGAGCUGAAAAGAAUGAUACCAAACAAGGCAAGAGGGAAAAAAUAAAAUGAAACAAUCUGAGGGUGAAAUACAAACGUAAACUCAAAAGGAGUCAAAAAUGGCCGCUUGUAUUUCAGACCUCAGUGGGUUAAUCCAACAAAUCAUGAAAAAUUAGGUUUAAAUUUAUGUCCAUGACAGUGCAGAUUUCUGACAUUUUGUGUAAUUUAAGCUGUAACAAUGUGAUUGUUUUCUAACAAAAAACAGUGUGAAACUUAAGUUAGACUUGUGUUUGUAAAUGAACCGCCCCAUGUUGUGUAGCUUUCUGGAUUUUAUACUUAUUGGGCUACAUGUUUAUUUAUUAUACAGGCUAUACAGUACAUAACAUCAAAACUCACAUGUUUUAUGUAACUAAAGUGUGUAAUUAUGUGGGCUACAGACAAUAAUUAAGUUAUAGACUAUAUUUAUAUGAAAAACGUGUAUACUUACUGCAUUUGAAUCAUUUUAACCAUAUGUAACCACCUGCAUAUGUGUUUGGGGGGAAAAAAAGGCUUUGAUUUUGCCACCCCAUUUGAUUUCUUUGCCACCCUAAGAAAAUUUCUCUAGAUCCGCCCCUGGAAAGAGACCAGGAAAGAUGUCUGCAUCUCAAGCUGUCAAUAACCUCAUCAAAUUCCCAAAGGUAUGUUGUUUAAAUUAAUGUUCCAUCACCUCUAUUUUCAUGGACAGUGAGGUGAGCUAAUCUACUGUCAGAGGAUAGUCACUUAAUACUGUUGUUUAACCUCCUAGGACCUGCCAUCCACAUAUGUGGACAUCACAUUUUUGGUUAUUUUGACCAAAAUACUCAAUUUUGCUCUACAUGGGCCUGAUAUCCACUUAUGAGGACAUUAUACUGCUACUGUUCUAUCAAAAUUUUAAAUGAAUAUCCUCAUUUGUGGCUCUCAUUUUUCUUAAAAACAAAAAUAAGGUAAAAAAAAAAAAAUCUGGAAAUUCUUUGUUUUUACAUUCAUUGGGCCCCAAUAUGCCCAAAUAUCAAAGAGAAAUUAUAAAUGCAUGUCGUGGAAGAGUUCGGGUCUUAGGAGGUUAAUGUGUUGUUGUAGGCUGGAACCAGUGUACAGCAGCAUCUAGACAACAGCAGUCAGCCCUACCUUCUUGCUCAGGGAUCCACAAGAAGCAGCAUUCACACCUUCAUUGUGAUUGACAAGCAUGCACUUCCAUGUAAAGUGACAGGUUCAGUAGGAGCCCUUGAUGAACAUUUUAGGGCCCAUUAUGUCUUUGGUACAUCAUACAGUUCAUUGCUGACCAACUUUUUUCACUUUUCUGCAAACAACUGUGACAUUGGGGAAACGCCAUAUUGCUUUCUCUAGUGAGCAUCAUAGAACUGUAUGCUAAUGUGAAUUGUAAGGGCUUGUUACGUUAAUUAAAUGACACUGAAAUGAGAAACAUAAUAAAUGCUGUUACUUUAACCUGUAUGUUUGUUGUCAUUUCCAUAAUCAAGUCAAGUCAAGUCAAGUUGGCUUUAUUGUCACUUCAACCAUGUACAAUUAGUUCACAGUGAAACGAAACAACGUUCCUCCAGGACCAAGGUGCUACAUGCAACAUAAAUUUACAACAUAAGUUAACAGAAAACACUAAACUAGCUAACUAAGAGGCCUAGUUAGCUGGCUAGCAGAGACAAGACAGAUUGACCUAACAUAAAUUACAACAUAAAUUAACAGAAACUAACUAUCUAACUAUCUAAGGAAGACUAGGAAGUAAAGAAAUUAGUGCAAAAAAUCCAGUAAUAAUAUUGUGUAAUAUAGGAUAGAUCACAGUUAUUUAGUAGUAUAGCAUCAUAAGAUGAAUAUGAAAAAAUAACACUACAGAGAAAUAAAAAUGAUAUAUUAUUACACAUCAGAGUGUUAUUAUUAAACUAAAUUUGGAGUAAAAAUAGCUCUAUAAAGUGUAAUCAAAUUACUCUGAACAGUGUGAAUAACCCUCAGUGUUAAAUAUUUUUACACAUUUUGUUGUUAAUUUUGACACUAAAUUGAGUACAAUUAACACUGAAAACUUAACACUGGUCAUAGAGUAAAUUUAACUCUAAUUUUGAGUGGGACCAAAUGUUAUCUGAAGCAGAGUUAAAAUCAACUCUCUAAGUGUAAAAUUGACACUUGGUUUUUUACUGUGUCCAAAUGUGAUAAUUACUUUCUUUUUGAUCAUUCUAAAGGCUGUUGUUUUCUCUUUAA